CUGAGUCCUGGAUGUGCCCUGCUGUCCUCAGCCUCCAGCCUCUGGUCAGGCUCCUCCCUCUGCCCUCAGCCCUUCCAGGGAAGCAGAUCCACAGGGACAGGCUGAUGCCUCCCAACUACCCAGCAUCCUGGGGACUGUUGUGGUCCUGCUGCUGAUCCUGGGAGCUGGACUGUUCCUCUGGAGGACACGAGUGAAGAAGAGCCUGGAGCCUGGGAGAGGCAGGUUGCACUUCUCCUCCCCGGGCCCACACACCUCCCUCCCCUGGACCCUGGACUCCCUUCCUCCUGCC
RNAcentral lists this long non-coding RNA (289 nucleotides) under Vulpes vulpes (red fox). Its description in RNAcentral is "lncRNA (ENSVVUG00000004087.1)". The record is from RNAcentral. Lineage: Eukaryota; Metazoa; Chordata; Mammalia; Carnivora; Canidae.